RNAcentral lists this ribosomal RNA (253 nucleotides) under uncultured bacterium. Its description in RNAcentral is "partial 16S ribosomal RNA". It matches the Rfam family "Bacterial small subunit ribosomal RNA", at positions 524 to 776 of the family's 1533-position model. The record is from RNAcentral.
UACGGGGGGGACUAGCGUUGUUCGGAAUUACUGGGCGUAAAGGGCUCGUAGGCGGCCAACUAAGUCAGACGUGAAAUCCCUCAGCUUAACUGGGGAACUGCGUCUGAUACUGGAUGGCUUGGAUUCGGGAGAGGAAUGCGGAAUUCCAGGUGUAGCGGUGAAAUGCGUAGAUAUCUGGAGGAACACCGGUGGCGAAGGCGGCAUUCUGGACCGAUAUUGACGCUGAGGAGCGAAAGCCAGGGGAGCAAACGGG